GGUGGCUCAGUGGUAGAGUGCUUGCCUUCUGUGCAUGAGGCCCUGGGUUCAAUUCCUCAGCACCA
This 65-nucleotide transfer RNA is filed under the name Dipodomys ordii (Ord's kangaroo rat). It matches the Rfam family "tRNA". Rfam says of the family: Transfer RNA (tRNA) molecules are approximately 80 nucleotides in length. Their secondary structure includes four short double-helical elements and three loops (D, anti-codon, and T loops). The record is from Rfam by way of RNAcentral. Lineage: Eukaryota; Metazoa; Chordata; Mammalia; Rodentia; Heteromyidae.